GAGUUUCGUUCUUCUUAUUGGCCUCCUUUAGUUUUCCUUGAUCAACAACCACUAACCAAAAACACAAUUAGAUUAGAUUAUGAAUGAUACUUUCAACUAUGACAAUAUUAAAUACAAAACACUCUAAAUAACUCUAAAUAAAUGGAAAGCAACAAAUUACCUGACGAGGCAAGCUAGCUCAAUUAAGACCAUUGUGUUAUACUUGUCUCUGAAUUGAAAAUUUUAGAAGAAAAUAAAGAGAAA
Molecule: long non-coding RNA, 243 nt
Filed under: Gossypium raimondii (Peruvian cotton)
Lineage: Eukaryota; Viridiplantae; Streptophyta; Magnoliopsida; Malvales; Malvaceae
Description: long non-coding RNA (GRAI_LNC007543)
Source: RNAcentral